AAAAAGGUAAGCUAAGCAAGCUAAUGGGUUCAUACCCCAUCUAUAGAGAUAUUAAUUCUCUCCUUUUUA
This 69-nucleotide transfer RNA is filed under the name Tristira magellanica. Its description in RNAcentral is "tRNA-Met". The record is from RNAcentral. Lineage: Eukaryota; Metazoa; Arthropoda; Insecta; Orthoptera; Tristiridae.